AUUGUCACCACAGCCGGCUCCGCUCCCUGCCCAUCACGUUGGCCCACAUCUCAGGAGUCAGCCCCGGGCUGGGGCAGGAAGGGCCAGAUCUGAGAAAACCAGGAUGCUAAAAGCUUUUCAAUUCAGCAAGAAUUAACUGAGUGCCAAUUUAGCAUUAAAUAGAAAUGAGAAUAUUCAACCCAGCCCUCAACAAGUCUGGAAUCCCACUGGGAAGAUCAGCACAUUCUUGAAGACAGGACCAAUGAGUACCUGGUUGUGUACUUUACUUCCUCAUAUCAUGCAGUUAUUGUUUUACUCUGAUGCUUUUGCAAAUAUGCUUCAUCUUCAAAGGGAUUCAUAUUAAGUACUCUAGAAUGCCAGUUUCAAAUAACUUUCAGAUCAUACCAUUGAACUGGGUAAGGAUUUGCAGAACACUAACAAAGAAACUGAUGGCUUCAUAAAACUGCUAACAAAAGAUCAAGAUACAAGGAAAUGUUUUUUCUCCUAAGCCAACAAUGACCUACAGCAAUUUGUUAAAUUAUACCUUUGUAAGCAGAAUCGAAAUAUUUCUCUUUUUCUCCUUACCUAAUCCCUCCAGAAUUUGGAAACUCUUAAAUCAUUGAGAACUAAAGCUGCCCUUUUCCUGAAGCCUUGCAAACUAAGCUGAACAACUUGAUAUGAACUUAAGAGAGACCAGCAUAAUAGCCCAUGUUUAAACAAUCUUUGUGCCUGCUGCUGUGUAAACCACUCCGAAAGUUUACUCAAACACCUAAUGAUAUCAUCAGAGAUGUUUCAAACUGCAAAAGAUGUUUCAACCAUGACAUCUAGAAAUCUUUUUGACUGGCUGCCCCUAGGGCUAACUUUAGGAGUCCACCUGCAUCACCGCCUUCCAAAAUGAGUUUAACCAAACUGACCUACUGUCAGGAUUAAGAGACUGGUUCAGUGAGAUGGAACAAUCUACCAAUUCGGCUUCUGGACUGAGAACUUCUUGGAGAAGUUUUAAAGAUUCCAGCUGGGCCCUCAGCACCUGCAACAUUCAGAAGCCUGAGGAAACCGGAUGGCCUGAGAGGAGAGCCUGAGGCUGCUGAGCUGGGACAGAGCCAGGCCCAGUGGAAGCUGGUGUCCCUCAAUGAAAGACUUGGGCCAUGGGAUCCAGGCUUCCCACUGGGCAGUGAGCACUGUCUUCCCAUACAGAUGUCAGAAUAACACCCACUGAGCACCUACAUCCAACUUCAGCUUCGUCCAAAUUCCUCUCACUGAGGGGUUUCAACCUGUGAUGUGGGGGGUUAAAAUAGAAAGCAGGGGUUGUCUGAGUCCCACU
RNAcentral lists this long non-coding RNA (1300 nucleotides) under Equus caballus (horse). RNAcentral describes it as "lncRNA (ENSECAG00000056263.1)". The record is from RNAcentral. Lineage: Eukaryota; Metazoa; Chordata; Mammalia; Perissodactyla; Equidae.